Molecule: ribosomal RNA, 402 nt
Filed under: uncultured bacterium
Lineage: Bacteria
Description: bacterial SSU rRNA
Rfam family: Bacterial small subunit ribosomal RNA
Source: RNAcentral
GAAUAUUGCGCAAUGGACGAAAGUCUGACGCAGCAACGCCGCGUGCGGGAAGAAGGGCUUCGGCUCGUAAACCGCUUUUCUGUGGGAAGAGCAAGGACGGUACCGCAGGAAUAAGUCUCGGCUAACUGCGUGCCAGCCGCCGCGGUAAAACGUAGGAGGCGAACGUUAUCCGGAUUUACUGGGCGUAAAGCGCGUGCAGGUGGUCUGUUAAGUCGUGCGUGAAAGCUCCCUGGCUCAACCGGGAGAGGUCGUGCGAUACUGACAGACUGGAGACAGAGAGAGGCAAGUAGAAUUCCGGGUGUAGUGGUGAAAUGCGUAGAUAUCCGGAGGAAUACCAGUGGCGAAGGCGGCUUGCUGGCUCUGUUCUGACACUCAGACGCGAAAGCAUGGGGAGCGAACGGG